RNAcentral lists this ribosomal RNA (211 nucleotides) under uncultured bacterium. Its description in RNAcentral is "partial 16S ribosomal RNA". It matches the Rfam family "Bacterial small subunit ribosomal RNA", at positions 1282 to 1500 of the family's 1533-position model. The record is from RNAcentral.
ACAGUCUCAGUUCGGAUUGAAGGCUGAAAUUCGCCUUCAUGAAGCCGGAAUUGCUAGUAAUGGCAGGUCAGCAUACUGCCGUGAAUACGUUCCCGGGCCUUGUACACACCGCCCGUCAAGCCAUGGGAGUCGGGAGUGCCUGAAGUUCGUGACCGUAUAGGAGCGACCUAGGGCAAGACUGAUGACUGGGGCUAAGUCGUAACAAGGUAGC